RNAcentral lists this ribosomal RNA (261 nucleotides) under uncultured archaeon. RNAcentral describes it as "partial 16S ribosomal RNA". It matches the Rfam family "Archaeal small subunit ribosomal RNA", at positions 748 to 1009 of the family's 1478-position model. The record is from RNAcentral.
UAGCCGUAAACGAUACUCGCUAGGUGUCGGCCACGGUGCGACCGUUGUCGGUGCCGUAGGGAAGCCGUGAAGCGAGCCACCUGGGAAGUACGGCCGCAAGGCUGAAACUUAAAGGAAUUGGCGGGGGAGCACCACAACGGGUGGAGCUUGCGGUUUAAUUGGAUUCAACGCCGGAAAUCUUACCGGGACCGACAGCAACAUGAAGGCCAAGCUGAAGACUUUGCCGGAUUAGCUGAGAGGAGGUGUAUGGCGUAGUCGUGU